AGCAGCCGCGGUAAUUCCAGCUCCAAUAGCGUAUAUUAAAGUUGUUGCAGUUAAAAAGCUCGUAGUUGAAUUUCGGGAUUUAUCCGUCGGUCGGGCUUUUGGGUCUGUACUGGCGUGAUGGAUUCCUACCUUCUGAAUAACCGGCAUGUCAUUUAUUUGGUGCGCUGGGGAAGCAGGACUGUUACCUUGAAAAAAUUGAGUGCUUAAAGCAGGCUAUUGCCUGAAUACAUUAGCAUGGAAUAAUGAAAUAGGACGGCAUGGUUCUAUUUUGUUGGUUUCUAGGAUCACCGUAAUGAUUAAUAGGGAUAGUUGGGGGCAUUAGUAUUCAAUUGUCAGAGGUGAAAUUCUUGGAUUUAUUGAAGACUAACUUCUGCGAAAGCAUUUGCCAAGGAUGUUUUCA
This 400-nucleotide ribosomal RNA is filed under the name uncultured Glomeromycotina. RNAcentral's name for it is "SSU rRNA". It matches the Rfam family "Eukaryotic small subunit ribosomal RNA", at positions 569 to 972 of the family's 1831-position model. The record is from RNAcentral. Lineage: Eukaryota; Fungi; Glomeromycota.